Molecule: ribosomal RNA, 495 nt
Filed under: uncultured bacterium
Lineage: Bacteria
Description: partial 16S ribosomal RNA
Rfam family: Bacterial small subunit ribosomal RNA
Source: RNAcentral
GAUGAACGCUGGCGGCGUGCCUAAUACAUGCAAGUCGAGCGAACAGACGAGGAGCUUGCUCCUCUGACGUUAGCGGCGGACGGGUGAGUAACACGUGGAUAACCUACCUAUAAGACUGGGAUAACUUCGGGAAACCGGAGCUAAUACCGGAUAAUAUAUUGAACCGCAUGGUUCAAUAGUGAAAGACGGUUUUGCUGUCACUUAUAGAUGGAUCCGCGCCGCAUUAGCUAGUUGGUAAGGUAACGGCUUACCAAGGCGACGAUGCGUAGCCGACCUGAGAGGGGGUACGGCCCCCCUGGAAAUGAGACCCGGUCCAGACUCCUACGGGGGGCAGACGUAGGGAAUCUUCCGAAAUGGGCGAAAGCCGGACGGGGCAACGCCCCGGGGGGUAUGAAGGUUUUCGGAUCGUAAAACCUUUUUUUUAGGGAAAAACAAAUUUUUAAGUAACUAUGCACCUUUUGACGGUACCCAAACAGAAAGCCCCGGCUAACUACC